Molecule: ribosomal RNA, 842 nt
Filed under: uncultured bacterium
Lineage: Bacteria
Description: bacterial SSU rRNA
Rfam family: Bacterial small subunit ribosomal RNA
Source: RNAcentral
GCGGCGGACGGGUGAGUAAUGCUUAGGAAUCUGCCUAUUAGUGGGGGACAACAUCUCGAAAGGGAUGCUAAUACCGCAUACGUCCUACGGGAGAAAGCAGGGGACCUUCGGGCCUUGCGCUAAUAGAUGAGCCUAAGUCGGAUUAGCUAGUUGGUGGGGUAAAGGCCUACCAAGGCGACGAUCUGUAGCGGGUCUGAGAGGAUGAUCCGCCACACUGGGACUGAGACACGGCCCAGACUCCUACGGGAGGCAGCAGUGGGGAAUAUUGGACAAUGGGGGGAACCCUGAUCCAGCCAUGCCGCGUGUGUGAAGAAGGCCUUUUGGUUGUAAAGCACUUUAAGCGAGGAGGAGGCUACCGAGAUUAAUACUCUUGGAUAGUGACGUUACUCGCAGAAUAAGCACCGGCUAACUCUGUGCCAGCAGCCGCGGUAAUACAGAGGGUGCAAGCGUUAAUCGGAUUUACUGGGCGUAAAGCGCGCGUAGGUGGCCAAUUAAGUCAAAUGUGAAAUCCCCGAGCUUAACUUGGGAAUUGCAUUCGAUACUGGUUGGCUAGAGUAUGGGAGAGGAUGGUAGAAUUCCAGGUGUAGCGGUGAAAUGCGUAGAGAUCUGGAGGAAUACCGAUGGCGAAGGCAGCCAUCUGGCCUAAUACUGACACUGAGGUGCGAAAGCAUGGGGAGCAAACAGGAUUAGAUACCCUGGUAGUCCAUGCCGUAAACGAUGUCUACUAGCCGUUGGGGCCUUUGAGGCUUUAGUGGCGCAGCUAACGCGAUAAGUAGACCGCCUGGGGAGUACGGUCGCAAGACUAAAACUCAAAUGAAUUGACGGGGGCCCGCACAAGCGGU